RNAcentral lists this ribosomal RNA (489 nucleotides) under uncultured bacterium. RNAcentral's name for it is "bacterial SSU rRNA". It matches the Rfam family "Bacterial small subunit ribosomal RNA", at positions 341 to 847 of the family's 1533-position model. The record is from RNAcentral.
ACGGGAGGCAGCAGUGGGGAAUAUUGCACAAUGGGGGAAACCCUGAUGCAGCGACGCCGCGUGGAGGAAGAAGGUCUUCGGAUUGUAAACUCCUGUUGUUGGGGAAGAUAAUGACGGUACCCAACAAGGAAGUGACGGCUAACUACGUGCCAGCAGCCGCGGUAAAACGUAGGUCACGAGCGUUGUCCGGAAUUACUGGGUGUAAAGGGAGCGCAGGCGGGAAGACAAGUUGGAAGUGAAAUCUAUGGGCUCAACCCAUAAACUGCUUUCAAAACUGUUUUUCUUGAGUAGUGCAGAGGUAGGCGGAAUUCCCGGUGUAGCGGUGGAAUGCGUAGAUAUCGGGAGGAACACCAGUGGCGAAGGCGGCCUACUGGGCACCAACUGACGCUGAGGCUCGAAAGUGUGGGUAGCAAACAGGAUUAGAUACCCUGGUAGUCCACACCGUAAACGAUGAUUACUAGGUGUUGGAGGAUUGACCCCUUCAGUGCC